GACAGACCCUCACAGCAGUGACAGGUGCCACUGGCAGCCGUGAUUCUGCUGUGCCUCCCCCCAUGGGACACCUGUGGGAAGGAGGAGGUUGCUUCAGUCUAUGAGAGUCCUGCCAGAGACAAAGGGCUGUAAAUGUCCACUUCUGAGAGUAUAUGAUUAUGAAACAUCCUGGCUUAAAAAAAGAGGGAGUCGGCUUCUCUGGAACUGCCUUCAUGAGCCCCAGUAUUGUCCCCUGAAAAUUAAAGAAAACUAUUCUCUCCAGGAUCCUUUACCUACGACUGCUGAUUCCUAAGUCUGAGCUGGAUAAAUAGAUUGAGACAGCCUGCCCUGUGCUGUGGAGAUGAAUUCAAGCAUUGCAAGAAGGUUUUUUAGGUAAAAUCUUGGUCCUCACUGAAGAAGAAGUGGAG
Molecule: long non-coding RNA, 407 nt
Organism: Vidua chalybeata
Lineage: Eukaryota; Metazoa; Chordata; Aves; Passeriformes; Viduidae
Exons: 4
Source: RefSeq, a predicted model, not a curated record